This 465-nucleotide ribosomal RNA is filed under the name uncultured bacterium. Its description in RNAcentral is "partial 16S ribosomal RNA". It matches the Rfam family "Bacterial small subunit ribosomal RNA", at positions 28 to 507 of the family's 1533-position model. The record is from RNAcentral.
GAUGAACGCUGGCGGCGUGCUUAACACAUGCAAGUCGAACGGAAAGGCUCCUGCUUGCAGGGGUACUCGAGUGGCGAACGGGUGAGUAACACGUGGGUGAUCUGCCCUGCACUUCGGGAUAAGCCUGGGAAACUGGGUCUAAUACCGGAUAGGACGAUGGUUUGGAUGCCAUUGUGGAAAGUUUUUCGGUGUGGGAUGAGCUCGCGGCCUAUCAGCUUGUUGGUGGGGUAAUGGCCUACCAAGGCGUCGACGGGUAGCCGGCCUGAGAGGGUGUACGGCCACAUUGGGACUGAGAUACGGCCCAGACUCCUACGGGAGGCAGCAGUGGGGAAUAUUGAACAAUGGGCGCAAGCCUGAUGCAGCGACGCCGCGUGGGGGAUGACGGCCUUCGGGUUGUAAACUCCUUUCGCUAGGGACGAAGCGCAAGUGACGGUACCUGGAGAAGAAGCACCGGCUAACUACGUG